Molecule: ribosomal RNA, 228 nt
Filed under: uncultured Acanthamoeba
Lineage: Eukaryota; Discosea; Longamoebia; Acanthamoebidae
Description: partial 18S ribosomal RNA
Rfam family: Eukaryotic small subunit ribosomal RNA
Source: RNAcentral
CUCAUUAAAACAGUUAUAGUUUAUUUGAUGGUCUCUUUUGUCUUUUUUACCUACUUGGAUAACCGUGGUAAUUCUAGAGCUAAUACAUGCGCAAGGUCCCGAGCGCGGGGGCAGGGCUUCACGGCCCUGUCCUCGCAUGCGCAGAGGGGUGUAUUUAUUAGGUUAAAAACCAGCACAUUUAAAUUCCAUACUGGUGAUUCAUAGUAACUCUUUCGGAUCGCAUUCAUG